Molecule: ribosomal RNA, 468 nt
Filed under: uncultured bacterium
Lineage: Bacteria
Description: partial 16S ribosomal RNA
Rfam family: Bacterial small subunit ribosomal RNA
Source: RNAcentral
GACGAACGCUGGCGGCGUGCUUAACACAUGCAAGUCGAACGGAAAGGCCCUGCUUUUGUGGGGUGCUCGAGUGGCGAACGGGUGAGUAACACGUGAGUAACCUGUCCUUGACUUUGGGAUAACUUCAGGAAACUGGGGCUAAUACCGGAUAGGAGCUCCGGCUGCAUGGUGGGGGUUGGAAAGUUUCGGCGGUUGGGGAUGGACUCGCGGCUUAUCAGCUUGUUGGUGGGGUAGUGGCUUACCAAGGCUUCGACGGGUAGCCGGCCUGAGAGGGUGACCGGCCACAUUGGGACUGAGAUACGGCCCAGACUCCUACGGGAGGCAGCAGUGGAGAAUAUUGCACAAUGGGCGGAAGCCUGAUGCAGCAACGCCGCGUGCGGGAUGACGGCCUUCGGGUUGUAAACCGCUUUCGCCUGUGACGAAGCGUGAGUGACGGUAAUGGGUAAAGAAGCACCGGCUAACUACGUG